Molecule: ribosomal RNA, 469 nt
Filed under: uncultured bacterium
Lineage: Bacteria
Description: bacterial SSU rRNA
Rfam family: Bacterial small subunit ribosomal RNA
Source: RNAcentral
ACUCCUACGGGAGGCAGCAGUGAGGAAUAUUGGACAAUGGGCGAGGGCCUGAUCCAGCCAUGCCGCGUGCAGGAAGAAUGCCCUAUGGGUAGUAAACUGCUUUUAUACGGGAAGAAAAAGGGGCACGUGUGCCCUGUUGACGGUACCGUAAGAAUAAGGACCGGCUAACUCCGUGCCAGCAGCCGCGGUAAUACGGAGGGUCCGAGCGUUAUCCGGAAUUAUUGGGUUUAAAGGGUCCGUAGGCGGGCCGGUAAGUCAGGGGUGAAAGUCUGUAGCUCAACUAUAGAACUGCCUUUGAUACUGCCGGUCUUGAGUCACGGUGAAGUUGCCGGAAUAUGUGGUGUAGCGGUGAAAUGCAUAGAUAUCACAUAGAACACCGAUUGCGAAGGCAGGUGACUAACCGUGUACUGACGCUGAUGGACGAAAGCGUGGGGAGCGAACAGGAUUAGAUACCCUGGUAGCGACUGAU